RNAcentral lists this ribosomal RNA (246 nucleotides) under uncultured bacterium. RNAcentral describes it as "partial 16S ribosomal RNA". It matches the Rfam family "Bacterial small subunit ribosomal RNA", at positions 1257 to 1500 of the family's 1533-position model. The record is from RNAcentral.
GUGAGUGUAAGCAAAUACUCAAAAAUAAACGUACUCAGUUCGGAUUGUAGUCUGCAACCCGACUACAUGAAGCUGGAAUCGCUAGUAAUCGCGAAUCAGAAUGUCGCGGUGAAUACGUUCCCGGGUCUUGUACACACCGCCCGUCACACCAUGAGAGUUGGGAAUACCCGAAGCCUGUGAGCUAACUUUUAGAGGCAGCAGUCGAAGGUAGAAUCAAUGAUUGGGGUGAAGUCGUAACAAGGUAUC